GUUCGAGCUUUUGGAAAGAGAAGAGUUUAAAAGAAUUAAGAGCCUUCAGUAUGUUAAUGUAUCCUUAGGAAUUAGUUUCUCCCCCUGAUAAGCUGCAGACUUAUUUAAAGUAAGACUAAAUUACCAUGGAAGCAUGGAAUUGUUAAGGUUGGAAAAGACCUGGAAAGAUUAUCAAUUCCAACUGUCAGCCAUAGCUGCUGUUGUUUCCUUUGUAAGGUUUGAGAUGAUACAUACAAUAAAGCCAUGAAUUCAUAGAAGCACAACACACAGUUGGAAGUUCAACUAUUAAUAUUUAUAGAAUUUACCUGAGAGGUUGCAACAGGUUCUCUAUUAGUCAUGCUCAUGUUGGUUGGACCUGAAAAUGUAGUGGUCAGUGUGGCCACCAUGCCACUAGCAAGCUACGGUGUACUAAAUACUGCAAGUUCAGCCUUUCAUGAAACUUAAAAGGAAAACAGACUCAGAAUAAAAGUAGAACUUUAUCAUAAAGGCGAUGGCUAUAGUUUGUCUCUGAGUAUUCUUUGUCUAUAAUUUAAGUUAUUAGCAGCUAUACAAAUUAGAUAAAUAGUUAGCUUCCAAAGCCCAUUUAUUAAUGACAGAAUACUUUUUUUCAUUGGAAAUGCUAAGUUCAAUAUAUUUUCCAUAUGCUUUUUUCCCAACUUGGAUAUAAGAUGAAAUGCUAAUGUAACUAAGACACAUGCACAGGCCUGCACAAUGAAAUGUUACUGGUAGUCAACUAUUUGUCAUGAAAUACAUCAUUACUUUAUUUUGUAAAAGAAAACUCCUCCCUCCUCAACUGCAUUGUAAAAUAUUAGUGACAUUAUGUUUAUCAGCACCACUGAAAGAUUAGAAAUUAUUACCUCCUACUCAACAGCAGGGGCUGAAAGCUUCCUUUGUCUGUUGCAAAAAAUAUAUUUUGAGGGGGAAACAUCAACUGUUGUAGAGAUUAAAUUUUUGACAACUAUUUUUUCCUCCCCCGCUCCAAAAGCGCAUGUAUACGUAGACAAACAUUUGCCAUUUGAGUGAUAUAUUCUUUUCCCAAGUAUGAAAGAGGUAAAACACAACCAUAUUUACUGUGAGCAACCUUUACUUAGGUUUGCAAUAUAAAAAGUUCUCAUAGUGUCCAUAUACUAACUCUUAUUGUAAAUUUGUUUUAGCCAUUGCAGGAAAUGAGAGUUUGUAGCCAGCUAAUUAGUAUUUUCUUAAUGACUUAUGUUUGAAUUUUAAUGCUGAAAAGCAGCCUCUGAAAGUGCUAUGUAUGCAGUUCAGCAAUGUAGACUUGAAAUGAACAAAUGGUUGAGUAUUUCACAUUCUGGCCUGGAGUGAAGAACAAAGCAUGCCCUGUUUUGAAAGCUACUUCAGCACAUGCUUAAGCAUAUAGAGAAUUUCUACUCUCUGGUAGCUUUGAGAUAGAAGUGAAGGAAAUGGAAGAAGUGCAUAGCUGUGUAUCUUUUACCACCAUGUGAGAUCGAGGGCAUACUGCAUCAGACAAUGCUAAUGGGGAGAGACAAUUAAAAGCCUCAUUUGUCCUUACUAAAUCCAGUCCUGAUGAGGAAUCCAUGCCAUGUUCUAAUUCAGGAGAGGAAAAGCCUUUCCUUUGAAUGAUAGAAGAUUAGGUUGGAAUGGUCUUCUGGUGUUUACGUAUUCCAAUCAAAGUCGGGCCAACUGUGAGGUUACACCAAAUUGCUCAGGGUUUGUCAUGCUGAGUUUUGAAAGUUUCCAAGGAUGGUGAUUCUACAGUGAAUUCUGCCAGUAGAUAUAUAUAUAUAUGUAUUCUCUGCCCCACCAAGAGUGGCCACCUUUCUAAGUUUUGGGCACCAUGAUACAGGAGGGACAAGAAACUAUUAGAGAGCAUCCGAAGGAGGGCUACAAAGAUGGUGAAGGAUCUAGAAUGCAAGAUGUAUGAGGAGCGGUUGAGAUCCCUUGGUUUGUUCGGCUCAGAGCACAGGAGCUGAGCAGAGGCCUCAUGGCAGCUGCAGCUUCUCACAGGGAGCGGAUGGACAGCGCUGAGCUCUGCUCUAUGUGACAGCUACAGGGCCAGAGGGAAUGGCAUGGAGCAGUGUCAGGGGAGGGGCAGAUGGAGGUCAGGGAGAGGUUCUGCUCCAGAGGGUCGUGGGCGUAGAACAGGCUGCCAGGGCAGUGGGCAUAGCCCCGAGCUGCCAGAACUCAAGGAGCAUUUGAACACUGCUCUCAGACAUAGGGUUUAGGUGGUCCUGUGUGGAAGCAAGAUUUGGAUUUGAUGAUCCUCUUGGGUCCCCUUCAAGCUCAGGAGAUUUUAUGAUUCUUUGUGAUUUAUGGUGCUGGAACAAGUUGCGUAGUGAUGUGGUUGAUGUUCUGUUCCCGGAGACUGUCAAGGCAAGGCUGGAUAAAGCCCUGGGCAACCUGAUCUAGCUGUGGUGUCCCUGUUCAUUGCAGGGGAGUUGGACUAGAUGGCCUUCAGAAGUCCUUUCUAAGUCUAGUGUUUCUAUGAUUCUCUGUUUUUGCUUUUUUUAAUGCAACCUUCUGAUAAGAGUCAAACUUGGAUCCUGUGGGAGUAAGCACAACUCCCAUUUUUCAGAGUUUUCACUGGCACAAGAAUGAUGCUUUCUUCCUCUUUUACACUGAACUGUGUCAGGUUUGAUGAUGCUGAGGAUGUCAGUGUAUUAUUUCCCUUCUGCAUGCAUGAAGCCCACCCAUCUGAUGCUGAAGCUGUGGCUAUCAUUCGCAUUCAGUCAGAUUCAAAGUAUCUGGUAGUCUGAUUCUGCACUGUUUGAGGUCAGUGACAAAACAGUGACUGGUUACUAAGUUACUAUAGUGGCAGGAAAGAAAGAAGAGGAUUUACUGACUGUCUAGUUUUCCUCCCAAGUUCACUUUAACAAUGCCAGUCCCUGUUCAAUGCGACCUGGAAUGGCAGUGCAAAACAAAAACCUUUCUUCUAUCUCCUUCCUUUUAAUUCCUCAAGAUUUCUUUCCUCCAAUAGGAAUAAUCAGUAAUUUGUUUUCAUUUGACAUUUCAAAAGCUAAACCCCAGACCAAACCUUUAAUUGCAUCCUUUUAAAGGCCAUACAGUAGUGUUAAGCUAAGUAGUAAUGAGUUCAAAAAGGAUCUGAAAGUCUUUGCUGAGAACAGCAUCUCUGACCUUGUAGACUCAACUGUACUGGGCAAGAAACUGUGAUUUAUGCCUUUAUAGAAAACAUACUAUUUGCAUCUUAUUAGGGCUCCCUGCGAAGGAAAAAAAUGUUGUGGAGACCAGGAAAUUUCUUGAAGUGCUUUACCUGGAGGUCAGUGGAAGUUAGUUCAUAAAUGAAGAAAUUCCACAUACAUUUUGAUGCUAAAAUUGUGACAACUUAUGAAGUUUGAUAUUACUGUAUCUUCCUGUGGAUGGUGAUUUUUUUUUUUGAAGUGGUGAACAUAUUUUCCAAGAAUACUGUAUACAUUUGUAACAUGUAUGUUUGUGCCAAUAAAUCUCGUUUUAAGUAGAUGCUUUUUGUUUUGUUUCUAUUCUGAAUACACACAGUUAAGCAGAGUUAAACAGUUUCAGCUUUCAUUCCCUCUUUGUGUUAUGUGUACUUCCAGAAAUUAAGAUUUUCUAAUUCACUCUGAAUUUUUAUAUAUGUAUAAUUUAUAUAUUAAUUUACAUAUUCUUAUAUAUUCACUCUAACAGAAAAGUAAAAAAAAACUUCUGUUGUAAAACAGCAAUGAACUCCAUGUACAAAAAAAAAAGGAGAAGGGAAGCAGUGGAGACAGUAGUAUAAUCAUUAAAGAAUUGUCAUUAAAGAGAAGCACACGAGAAAAUGCAUUUAUUACAUUUGACCUUAUUCUUACAUUUCCCCAUAGAGAAAUAUAUUCUCCUGUUAAUAAAGCCCAGUUAACUAAGGGAACUCACUGCCACAGAGUUUUGCUAGUUCAGGAAUUGUGUGUGGAGAAAGAAGGGUUUUUUUCCUUUUUUUUUUUUUUUUUUUUUUUUUUUUUUUUUUUGUGAGUGGGAUACAGACUCUCAGGAUUGUCUUCUACCUUAACCUGAAACAGCUGAUGCUUGCAACUGGUGUGAUGGCUUAAUGGGGCACUAACCAUUACCAUCCUUAUCACUAAUGAGUAAUUAAGCUCUUAGAAGGGACAAGAGUUGGAAGCUGCUUUUGUCCCCUCCUAGUGACCACACCUAUAUGUUUAAAUAUAUAAGCAUCACAGAUAGGUAGAUAAUUCUAGAUAGCUCUAUGCCUUCGUGCAUAUGAGAUAUCAUUCAAUAGUUUUAAACUGCCUGCAAAUCAUCUCAAUGCAUGUGAAGGGUACGGUCAUCUCCCCACCUAGACACACCAGAACAGGCUAUACCAAAACGUGACAGUGCUGUUUUAGUAAAGCAACAGCUUUUUCCUUGGUAACUCGUAGCACACCUGGCAAUAAACUGGGGGCACUAUGACUCCAUAAGAAGCUAGGAAAAAGUAAUUAUUGAUUUCUUUCAUACAAUGCAUAUUCUCAUCUACGUGAAGUAGCAUAUAAGGACUGAAUACAGUGAAUUAUGUUGUGUGGUGCAUGUAAAUGUGACAUUGAAGAACACAGGAAACUGAUCAAAGCCAAAAUAAGGCUUACACUAAUAAUGAAGAAAUACUCAGUUCUCUUACAGUCAGGUUAGGUAGUUAGCUCAGUUUUGCUGAAAGACAAUGGUUCCAUUUCCCACUUUCUAGCUUACAGGGAACUCUAAUAAGUGAUGAAAUCAAGUAAAAAUGAAAUUAUAUGUAGUGGAGAGAUUAAGGGGAAGAUAGCAGGACUAGUAAGUUUAUAUGAAAAAUCAAAUGUAUUUUUGCAUGCUGUCUGAAUAGCAGUUUUGCAUAAUUCAUGGAAGUUCAGGGAGAAAAAAGGGCUGUUUUUCAGGAGUUACUAAGUUAACGGGGUGAACAGCUCUGGGACUUGUUUAUGUUUUGGAAUGUAGUUCAAAGACAAAACAAACCUUGAAGUGGCCGUAUAUACUUAGCUUUCUGAGCUGAACUACAUGGAGGUAAGUGAACGAACAAGAUGCUUUUAAGUGCUCCUGACAUAUUUAAAAUUUCAAAGAUUUCAAGUCUCAUGAUUUAGGGAAAAAUAUAUAUAAAAAAAAAGGUUAGAACUGCAAUCUGAGGAUAGAAAAAUCUCUAAUCUUGAGAUUAUUCAAGCUCUAUAUGAAACAUAAGAUAGGCAGUGAUGAUAACUGUGACAAAAAAAAUAAAGCUUUUUUUGCUUUCUGAGAUCUUUCAAAUCUAGGAGAAUGUAACCUUGUAAUGGCACCUGUGAUUUGGGCAGUGAUUAUGAGAAGCUCUUACACCUGCAAACAUUAACACAUUUUACGAUGGGAAUUUCCUGGUAUCAAUGGCACUCAGUUAUUACUGUUUUAAAACAACUAGAAUGACUCUGCAGAAAUAACACCCUUUCUUUCUCCCUCAGCAUCUGAACAGUCUAAUUAUAAUUUAGCAGCCAUCAGCUGAACUGCUUAAUAAAUGCAGGUAAGCCUGGCUUUUCUACUUUCUGUUGGCCAUAUUACAGCUUUUUUCUGUUGCAUGGAGUCAGUGGAUUUGGGAAUUAAAUUUCUAGUGCUUAUCUAGGUUGUUCUUUUUACUAGAUGAUGUACAAUACAUAGUUACUUGCAUACUGUGGGUAAGCCUCAAAAAACACCUACUCCACAGUCUGGCUUCACCAGGAGCGUGGAAAGGAUGCCCGGAUAUGCAAGGAUGGAGUCAAGAAAGCCAAUGCACAGGCAGAAUUUAACUUGGUGAGAGAUGUGAAAAACAAGAAGGAUUUCUUUACAUGCAUUGGGAAGAAGAGACAAGCAAAGGAGAGUGUAUCCCCUCUAAUAAAUGAAAAGAGAGAGCUGGCCUCCUCUGAUAUGGAUAAGGCUGAGGUACAUAACAAGUUCUUUGCCUUGGUCUUCAUGGCCAGUCAAGUUUCUCAUGACUCUCAUGUCCCUGAAUUUCUAGGUGAGGGUCAGAGGAGCAAAAUCCCUCCCAGUGUAAGAGCAGAGCAAGUCUAAGACCACCUCAUGAGGCUGAAUGCAUACAUGUCUAUGGGGCCUGAUGGCACACAUCCCAGGGUUCUGAAGAAACUGGUUGAUGUGGUUGUUGAGCCGCUCUCCAUCACAUUUGAAAAAUCAUGUCUGUCAGGUGAAGUCUCUGGUGACUGGAAAAAGGGAAAUAUCACUCCCAUAUUCAAGAAAGGGAGGAAGGAAAACUUGGGAGACUACAGGCUAGUGAGCCUCCCAUCUGUGCCUGGGAAGAACAUGGAGUGGAUCCUGGAAGAGAUGUUAAGGCACAACUGAGAUGAGGAGGUGAUCCAAGACAGCCAGCAUAGCUGGCCAGAGAUUUUCAAGAAAUAUGUAGGCGUGGCACUUAGGUAUAUGGCUUAGUGGGUUUGGUGAGGACGGGCUGACUUGAAGCUCUUGUAGGUUUUUUCCAGCCUUAAUUAUUCUAUGAUUCUAUAGUUCAUGUCCUCCUUUGUCAUCCUAGCAGUCCAUUUCUGCACAUCUGCCAAUUCCACUACUUAUGACCAGGGCAGCAGUAAGUGUUCUCAUCCAAGUUGAGUGUGGCAAUUGAGGCACGGACUCGGUUGCUAGCGCAGGACCACGACCCUCUGUUGUACGUGCUUACAACCUUUUAUACCCAUGUAACAACCCCUUGGUCACAUGUCCUAAGGUCUUUUGUUAGUCAAAGUAUGGGGUUAGUCUGUUUUCCCACAUCUCCUCCUUCUUUAUUAGUUUGAACAACAAGCGCUUGGUUGAUCGCCUUAUUAAUAUAAUACAAGGAAUACAUACCAAAAAGCAUGCAAAAACCUGAAGACACAUUCACUGUUAUCUAAAACCUAUCUAUGUUUUCUCUAGAAAAUGUUAUCAGUGAUGGCACGCACGUUGCUUAUGUUGAGAAAUAAUAUUAACACAAACAGCAACCUCAGUAAACUGAAAACAUUUAGCAAGCUACCCUAUGAAGUUAUCUGGGAAGGAUAAUUUUACUAUCACCAUUUGUUUAAACAGUCAUAAAGCAAAUCACAACAAAUUUAACAUCUUCUGCUACUGAGCCGCUAAGGGAAAAGCACAAGUUGCCUGGGUGUAAGAUUCCCUGAGGUAGCUGUCGCAUUGCUUGACGCUGGUUACUGCCUGCAGUAUAAUUGCACCAAGUGGAUCCACAGCCCGGCUGCCUCCGUAAGCCUUCUCUGUACAAGUGACUCGGCUUUUGCUGCUGACACCCCCGGUUCCUACCGAUCCUGUACUAGGGGGGUGGUGUGUUGGCCUGUGGCGUUGGUGAGCGUAUUCUCUAUCGCCUUUUGUUGUGCAGAUUCUCUCCAAAAGCCCAUCCACAUCACGUACUGAGUACUUGUCAAAAAUCAAUUGUGCCAAAGUCUUGCAAUCACGAGGACAAAGAGUGUAACUUUUCAUAACAGAGCCCAACAGAUUACUGGUAUAGGGGGAGCUGAGCCCGAAUUCAAAGACCGCUUUCCGGAGCUCUUUUACUAUUUGAAAGCUUAUACCCUCCCAUUUGGGGCACCUAUUAGGUUCGUAAAUCACGGGGCAGGCGAGAGCCGAAUGCAAUCUCUGAACCAUGUCAAAGUCGUCGUCCCCUCCACCUCUUUGCGGAUCGCACACAAAUGUCACCCAGAUCUCCCACAAGUGAGGGCUCACUAAAUGCUUUAUGUGUUAGCACAAAGAUUCCAUUGCCUCUUUUAAAGUAAACUGAAAAAUCCUACAGGUAUGUUAGUAUUACUUACAACUGUAUUUAACGCUGUCAAUAUCACCUCUGCUUCCAUGGCAGUCAUCCUGAUACUAUAUCCAUUGUUUCACUUAUUCUCUUUCUCUUACUUCUGUAGUUUUGGGCAAUACAAAAAUUUAUCAUUAGUGAAACCACUGUAAGCAGUACCUUUAAGGACGAAUUUAAUCUAAAUCCUCCUGCCUCUAUCAGCAUAAGUUUUAGGGUUUUCUGUUUCACUCAGGAGUAUAAGGCCUGAGUAAUUCCCCCAUCCCAGGUAUUCAUAUACAAAAAGCAAAAACUUACUUACUUCCUGCACAGGCAUUUCUUGACCACUCAGACAUGUAACCACUUUGAACACUAAUGCCAGUUAUAAAUGAGAUGCCUAGGUUUAUCAGCUAGAUGGAAGAAAUACAGUAGCAGCCUUUUCUGAGAAUUAGAAAUGGCAUUACUGGGGAGAUACAGGCAAAAACAAUGUGCUCAAGCAAUAUGUUGAUCUGCAGCUAAGCCUAGAACUUAAAGCCCUAUGGAGUAAGAAAACCAAGCUGGCUCUGUUUAAGUAGCAUUGCUGCAUUUCUGUGGUGCUGUGCCCGUUAGGAGCCGCCCUUCGCUGUAUAUAAAUUUAUCAGCUCUUGUGUAGGAUACUGAAGCGUUUUCUGAUGACGCUAAGACGCCAUUGUUUUACAGACAUCCCAGUGUCUGGAAUUUACCACAAAAUAAUCUUUUCACAGUUAGAUCAUUAAUACACGAUUAAGAGCAGCAUGAACUCUUCUUCUUCAGCCUAGUAUGGCUGUACAACACAUCACAAUUACACCAUAUGUUCCUGAAACUAGGAGUGCAAAAAGUUACGUUAUCAUAAAGCGAGCCUUUCAAAUACAAACCUUAACCUAUCUGCUCUUGUUUGACCUAGGCAAGAGGGAGAAGUCAAGCCUCAGAAUAUCUUAAGUGGCAGUUUCUAUUCCUGAUUGUUUUCUCUGUGAGACCUGAGAGAAUCCGUGGGAGCUUUCAGAACUCUUCCCUUUCUUAAUGUGCUGGCAAGAUCAGGCACAUCACAAUGCAAUGUCAGAAAGAAGAUUGCCUUUUAAAAUUUGUUUUCUUUUAAAAAAUAAAUUAAAAAAAAUAUCAUGCUUUUGAAUUCCUACAAUGAAGGAAAAAACAACCACCUAUCAGCCCUCUCCGCGCCGCAGCAGGGCUGCGGCCCGCAAUGAGCCUGCGCGGGGCUCCCCCUGCUGCGCGCCGCGGGGGAUUCCCGGCAGCGGGAGCGGCCUAAGCAAGCGGCUUUGCGCUGCCACAGCAUGGGCACUGCCGCUCAUCGCUUCUUGUUCUAGGGAAUUUAUUUCACAAUUAUGCCAAGAUAGACUAACAGUGUCAGACUUAAUCGCAAAUUCAAAACAAAUUCAGUUGCAAUUUAUCUGCACAGAACUAAUCUGCACUAUCUGCCCCUCAGGUUAACCAUUCUGCUGUAACUGGUAUUGAUUUUAACACUUUUCAGCUUGUUCUUCCCCUGUACGUUAGUUAAUUCAGACAGACUUCAGAUUUCUCAAGUGGUCUCAAACUUACAGCGUUUUGGGGAGUAUGGUUUUUGGUGUUGUCUCAUUCACUCUCUCUGCACUACCCCACAGUGACCUGUUCUCUGUUUUGUGAUGCUGUAUGAAACAUUGCUCUCCCUCUUGUCUGGGCUAUUAUGCCACAAGUAAUUUCACUUAAGUUCCCUGCUUUCUCCAUUAAAAAAAAAUCAUUGAGAAGGUUGGGGUCUGGCCAUAAUGGUGGUACUUGUUGACUAAAUCAUCAAAGUCUUUGUAUUCGCUCAGUGCCCCCAGGUUUGCCUCCAGCAUUUUCUAGUUUAGCAUUGCUCAGGGUGACUCUGAUUAUGUUGCCUCAUUUGUCCUCAAUAAACCCUUAAAUCUUUUUUUUUUAAGUAUAUAAUUUAAAUGCACCUUAGAACGGAAGGCUCUGAAUUUCGCAUGUGUAUUAGGUCUUUCCUGUACCCUCUUGCAAGCACAUCAACGUGAAGAAGUACCUGUUACUCCCUACAUGGAGACAAUAUGAAGCACGUUGCCCACAGCUGUCUGUAUAAAGGCUCCCUGUGUGUGCUGUAAUGGGAACGAGCUCACCAGUUGAAUAGAGCUACUGAACCAGUUACGGAUGCAGUCUGACAAUCAUAGAACAAACAUGACUCAUUUAAGAACAUUCCCUACCUUCCCUUUUAAUGAGUGGUUUCACCACAGUCAGUAAACUAGAUCUGAAGGGAGAACAAAGAGUUCUUCAGGCAGCUCCACGGUGUUCUCGCACGCCACCUGCCCUGCUGCAGGACUAUGUUUGACAUAUUAAUAGAGCCAACUGUCCUUCCAUAAUUCCCCUUUGGUGUCCCAGCCCCCACAAUGGAAUCACCUCUAGCAGCAGAUACUAAGGUGUUAAUGCUAACAAUAAUAAUAGCAAUACUAACAAAUGAGCAGAACUAUGGCAUGGUUUUAAAACAAACAAACAAAAGCUUUAAAACUACAAAAUACUGGUGUGUUGAAGAGAGAUCAUCGUUUUUUUGUUGUGGGAUAAUAGCGAUGUUAUGUCUCUUCUUGAGAACAGAGUUCUGUAAAUAAGGAGACUUUGGUCUACCUUGACCAAGGCAUCAAGGCUUGGUUGUGUCUUCACACUGAAGAGUGAUCAACUUCCAAACUGAGCUUUCUUAUCGAGGAAGUAAGAAAUGAACCCACGCUACAUCUUUGUUUUCCCACCUUGCGUUAUAUCAACCAUCACUUCACUGAGCUCUUUUAGAGAAAGUAGAUAAUAGAAAUUAUAACAUGUCUGGGUAAACUUUCAAAAAUUGAAUAUUAUUUGUGACAUAUUUUUGGUGUUAUAAAAUCUCAACUCCGCCAAUGCCAAUAACAACAGCAAAUCUUGGUUUUAUAUACAUAUAUGUAAAUAUAAAUAUAUAUGUGUGUGUAACUGAGGCUUUGACUCAUAUUUAGCCACUACAACAUGCAAAUAGCAGGAAAAUCUUCUGAAUGUGCAAUAUACUAGUCCUCCUACAAGGUCUCCUGCUGUUUGUUUCAAUUUUAUUGUAGUGAACUGAUUUUACAUAAUUACGUGCAUAAUUACUUUACUGAGUGUUUUCACUUCACCAGUAAAGACUGUGACUAGAUGGGCAUAGUGCAGUUUUCAAAUAUACUGCAUUAAUGAUCUCCGUAUACAAUUUAUUUACUGUAAUCCACCACGUGGCUGGGGAAAAACAUUGUUUAUAUACAUUUGCAUUCUGUAAUUGACAUUCGCUUUAACUCAAUGUGAAUCUCAAAGUUUGAGUCACAGUUACCUGUAACAAUUUCAUGACAUUCUGUGGAGUGCCAUAUCUCUAGGCCUGAGCACUGAUCUGUGCUCUAAUGAUCAAGUGUGAAGAGUGGAAAAGUCUUCUAAAUGGUGGCACAAACGUGCUUUAAUUGCAUUUUAGAACUUGAAAAUAGAUAUUGUGUCAAUAGAUGGAGUCAGUGUACGAACAAAAAAGAAGCUGAUUCAUUGGCUAUUAGGCUACAGUGAAGUAUAAAAUCUGCCAUUUCAAAAACUUGCUGGUUUUUUUGGUUUGCUGUCUGAGUGCCUUGAAGAGUAGAAUGCAUAUCUGAUCAGAUACCUCAAGUUCUGCUGGUAUUGAGACCCGUCUUCUUAAUUCUAGAGGUAGUAGGCUUAAAUUGGCCUGGUUGAUUUGUAAAUUUUAACUUGCAGGUAAGAAGGAACUGAAUUAGGGAGUUAGGGGCCUUGAGUUGGGUCUUAGUUUAACUGUCCACUAAAUUGCUUAGCUUAUCUUCACUGCCAGAUGAAUUAGGGAGUCAGGGGCCUUGAGCUGGGUCUUCACUGCCAGACAUUGUUUAGUUUAGCUCUCCAUUAUCAGAUUGUUGCAAGUCAGUAAGAGAAGAACAAACAGGAAAACAGUGAAAGGGGGAAUGAUAAGAAACUACAAAGGCAUGCAAGAUAGGAGAGCCUCCCCAAACUGGGACAAAGGUCAAGAUGAAGACUCCUGACUUCAUCCAAGAGCAACCACCGAGUGGGGAGGAAGACAUCGAGCCUUCAUCCAACGACCACCAGAAGGAGCUACAACGCAUGUGCAAAGGGGAGGGACAACAUGCAAAUGAUUUUCCGGAAAAGUAAUGAAUAUGUAACAGGGAUCAAUGAAUAUGUAUACGUUUGGCUUUUAAAUGUCUAACACUUUUGUCUAGGGGUAUGCGAGUUUGGUAGGGCGGUGACCCCCUCGCAUCCGGUGUGGGCGCAGCACCAUAAUAAACAUACCUGCUUUAUAACCUAAUCUCGGGUUACGGAGUUUGAUUCCGCAAGUCAGAACUGAUGACUUAGUUUUUAAAUUAAUCCAAUAAUAGGUAACUUAUAAUAUAUGAUUCAUGGGAAAAGGAAAAAAAGAUCUGACAAAAUUAAAAUUUGCCAUCCGCACUGCAAGAAGAGGGGUGCACUUGCCUUCGAAUAAUUCCGGUUGGAUGAGCAGAGAUGACAAACUUAGCAACUAAAUUUGAUUAACAGCUGAAGUACAUGAGAGCCUGGUGUUCAAAUACAAGCUCUUUAAUUCAGUCAAAACAUGUUGCUUUUAUUAUUAUUCUUUUCCUCAUCUAAGUAACUAACUCAUGCUAGUGAAUCCCAGUGAAACAUAACAAAACGAAGAUAAAAAAAAAUAGGCAGAGGGAAAUUACUGUUUUUCAACUAGACACAUGAGAAGGAGAACAUAUAAGGAAACGCUUUAGCCAACUCACUAGGCACCACCACUCUAGAUGGCAGCACCUGCAAGAAGUGUCUUGGAGGUACAAGCUGGCCUUUCCAAACCUGCUUUGAGCUAACCAGCUGAAGGAAUGCUCUCACAGCAGCUUUAGCAGAGUGGGCUAAAUGAGCACUGAUUGUGCUGCUUGGGUGGGCUUUGUAUGCAUGCUGAGCUCUGUAGCAACUGAUAGUUUCCUCUACUUUAAUGCUGGAUUGAAUAUGCCUUCACAGGUUGACACUAUAAUGCAGACUUACUCCGAGUAAGAGUGCUAUUCCUACACAAGAGGCAUCAGCCUCCCUAACUAGCACUGCUUUCUGCAGUGUCUAAUGAAGCCAGCAAAUGCUACCAAUGUUAUUAGCAACAAUAGCUGGCUAGUAAUGCACCAUGAAAGAGCAGGGCUGGCAACACAACAUAAUCAUUGUAAAUUACCCAGACGGAUAAAAAGGCAGAAAGGCAGUUGGAUAUAUUUUUCAGACCCACUAGAAAAAAUACCCCAAUGCUUACCCAGUUUUCUACCCAGAUAUCAAAGAAAUGAUGAGCCCUACACCAUUUCUAUAAUUGCCUACAGGAGGAAUAUGUCAUGGCUCUGCUUUUUUAGAAAGGAGAAGCACCAAUCAGUCAUUGUGGGGAGCCCAGGACUGGGUUACACACUGUACUGCAGGCACAGCACCAGGUCACAGCCCUGUUGUUCAGGCGUUUGCGGAGCAAUUCAGGUAUCUCAAGAUAUGUGACUUGUGGCCAUGUCUAAUCCAGAAAUUUGUAUGCUUCAGACAAGCCAUUGUGUCGCUAGUAAUAAUCAUUGCUCCAGAAGACAUAUGCCUGACUUAUUUCAUACUGGUGGUGCCUGGAAUAAUGUGAAGCUAUGUAUACGAUUCCAACUUUCAGAAAACUGGUACAGUAGAAAACUUUGUACUGUAUUUGUUCCAGUUGCACAAUCAUUUUUUGAGUAACUGCUUUCCCAUUUUGUGAUUUUUUUUUAAAUACAUUUUAUUGUACAAAUUCCAAAAAGUGGCAAGAAUAGAACUUUAAAUUGAUUCUCUGUGAGGUACACCUUGACCAAAACAAUUGUUUUGUAUCCUUUUAAAGUAAGCAGAACUCAAAUAAUUAAUCUGGUCGAUACGAGGGCAGAAAAGGUACUGGCUUUUUCUGGUAAUGGUAAUCACUGUUCUCCUGCUAGAACUGGUGUGUUCUGCUACAGUGAUGGAUGUGUCUCCUGUUCUGUUUGUUCUGGGAACUUGCUCAGCUGCAGCACGGUGCUACAGUUUGCCUCCAGCUCCUGGUGCAUGCACUCUGACAGGGCUGAGACAGGCGAGGCUCCCAAAGUUUUUGCUUGGUUGAAGCACCUGACUUAGAACCUGUGGUUAGAGGUGUAGCCCGCAGCACACAGACAGAGAUGGCUUGUUUGGGCAUAUGGCAUAAAAAUAAACAACAACAACAAAACAGCAUCCCAUGGAAGCCAAGAACGUCAUUGUAUAUCUCCCCAACACAAAGAACCCUAACAAAGAUAAUUUAAACAGAAAAGAUGAAGUUCUGAAUGUGAAGUACUAACACCAUUAAGUUAAGUUGACCAAACUAUACAGCGUAUCUAAUUAGGAUUAGUCUUUAAAUUAGAAACUUCAGAGGAGUGCAAACUAAAAUAGGGAUCCUGAUAAGCUGACUUGUGCUUCACAACAAAUCCAGUUGCGGGAUCUGGUCCUAAUGCUUCCGCUCCCUGCCCCCUCGCCUCUCCAGGAGUGAAAUACUGCAAGGUACUUUACUCACAAGCUGUUUCUGCAAUAGCUGUUGCUUAAAUAUAUAUGGACCUAAUGGACUUAUCCUUAACACCAGCCACAGUGAGGGAGGGAAGCAGCAUUAACCUCAUUUUGUAGAUAAACAGGGGAAGCCCUGAUGGCUCUCUGCAGCCUUGAAACUGCUGUUACAUCCGAUUGCUGUAUUCACACCAAGGCUGGCAAAGCUUUGGUAACUCCUCUGUGCCUUCUUUUCAUCACAACCUGCGAUGAUGAAGAGAAAGAAGGCUCAGAAUAUGAAUAAACUCAUUAAUGUCUCAGCUACUGCUUGCUCAGCAGUGGAAGGUGUGGGGAGCAGAAGCGUGGGGCAGCCAGCAGCGGGCAAUGCUGCUGCAUGAGGCACAUCUCGGGUCCUCCCCCACCACAGUGCAGGCUAGUGCAGGGCCUGAGCAAAACUCAGCAUCAACAGCACGAGGAAUAUGUGAAUUUUUCACUGUGAGAUGGGAAACGUCAAUACUGAGUGUCUCAGCUGCACAUACGGGAGAUUUAAUGGGGAAUAAAUAUGAAAAGUUAAUUCUUAUACUUGGAAUGGAAAAUAAUUACACUGUAUGGUGUAUGUUGGUGUAUGGGGAACUGGUUUUCCACGAGAGAACCGA
Molecule: long non-coding RNA, 14805 nt
Organism: Numida meleagris (helmeted guineafowl)
Lineage: Eukaryota; Metazoa; Chordata; Aves; Galliformes; Numididae
Exons: 3
Source: RefSeq, a predicted model, not a curated record